RNAcentral lists this long non-coding RNA (546 nucleotides) under Phoenix dactylifera (date palm). RNAcentral describes it as "long non-coding RNA (PDAC_LNC022018)". The record is from RNAcentral. Lineage: Eukaryota; Viridiplantae; Streptophyta; Magnoliopsida; Arecales; Arecaceae.
UUUAUGUUUUUAUUGAUUUCCAUUGAUUUCUUUUACAUAUUUCGCCCCUUUUACAUACUUUAUACAUAUUUCUUCCUUUUUUUUUACAUAUUUUAUUUCUCCCCCUUUUUGUCAUCAUAUCAAAAAGGAGGUAAUCACACACAAUCAAUGGCACAACCAAUCAUCAAAUGGCACAUAAUUGAAGAUAAAAUGUCUACUCAUUGUAUUGAUAUGAAUGUGAAUACAUGUGAGAAUACAAUAAGUAAAGUAAAACAAGACAAAACACAAAAAACAUCUAUGGCCUCCUCGAGGAUGAGGCACCUCCUCUCGAGGAUGUGGCUCCUCCUCUCAAUCGGCUCUGCUCCAUGAGGAGGGUGACUGCAUCUGUAACAUGGCCAAGCUGCGUGAUAAUAGACGUAGUGGCUCUGCUAUGUGUAGUGGAGAGCUCAGUCACCGACGUCUGAAGCCCAGUCACCGACGUCUGAAGUGCGUCCAGCUUGUCGAUGAGUACAUUCGACAAGCGCUCGGCCCCCUCGGUGGUGGUGUGCAUGUCACGACCUAUGUCCU